AUAAUGGAGAGUUUGAUCCUGGCUCAGGACGAACGCUGGCGGCGUGCCUAAUACAUGCAAGUCGAGCGGAACCAUUGGAGCUUGCUCCUUUGGUUUAGCGGCGGACGGGUGAGUAACACGUGGGCAACCUGCCCUGCAGAUCGGGAUAACUCCGGGAAACCGGUGCUAAUACCGAAUAGUUUGCGGCCUCUCAUGAGGCUGCACGGAAAGACGGUUUCGGCUGUCACUGCAGGAUGGGCCCGCGGCGCAUUAGCUAGUUGGUGAGGUAACGGCUCACCAAGGCCACGAUGCGUAGCCGACCUGAGAGGGUGAUCGGCCACACUGGGACUGAGACACGGCCCAGACUCCUACGGGAGGCAGCAGUAGGGAAUCUUCCGCAAUGGACGAAAGUCUGACGGAGCAACGCCGCGUGAGUGAAGAAGGUUUUCGGAUCGUAAAACUCUGUUGUGAGGGAAGAACAAGUACCAACUAACUAUUGGGUACCAACUAACAAUUGGUACUCCGGGAAACCG
This 512-nucleotide ribosomal RNA is filed under the name Planococcus sp. CP5-4_YE. RNAcentral's name for it is "bacterial SSU rRNA". It matches the Rfam family "Bacterial small subunit ribosomal RNA", at positions 1 to 503 of the family's 1533-position model. The record is from RNAcentral. Lineage: Bacteria; Bacillati; Bacillota; Bacilli; Caryophanales; Caryophanaceae.